This is a long non-coding RNA of Triplophysa rosa, 328 nucleotides long. RefSeq lists it as uncharacterized. Lineage: Eukaryota; Metazoa; Chordata; Actinopteri; Cypriniformes; Nemacheilidae. The transcript is spliced from 3 exons. The record is from RefSeq and is a predicted model, not a curated record.
GUCCUCUUGACACAAGCCAGCCCGCCUGCCAUAGAAGAAGAAUGCGUUCAGUAAGCAUCUGGUUAAGGACACAGAGCAAGCGAGACUGUUGAGACGAGAGCUGAGCCCCAAUGGAGACAGCUCAUCAGAGUCUCCAUUGAGCCCACAGCCCGCAGCGUAGCCAAACGUCUCCCACGAGCACCGCGAUGGGUACAGAGGAUCCAGAGAGAUACUAGGGAUAAUGGAUAGGAAUAUAUCACAAAUCUCCUUAAGGCUGAAGCUUAAAGUGCAGGUUGCAGUGCUUUCACUAUUAAAAUUGACAUGAAUCAUUCACUGCCCACCUGAUGUC